Molecule: non-coding RNA, 72 nt
Organism: Zygosaccharomyces bailii CLIB 213
Lineage: Eukaryota; Fungi; Ascomycota; Saccharomycetes; Saccharomycetales; Saccharomycetaceae
Source: Rfam
GCCAUUCUAGUAUAGUGGUUAGUACAGCUCGUUGUGGCCGAGCAGACCCANGUUCGAUUCCUGGGAAUGGCA